GACGAACGCUGGCGGCGUGCUUAACACAUGCAAGUCGAACGGGUCUGCCCUGUUUUUUGCGGGGUGGGUCAGUGGCGAACGGGUGAGUAACACGUGAGUAACCUGCCCCUCACUUCUGGAUAACCGCUUGAAAGGGUGGCUAAUACGGGGUGUUCUGGCUGUGCCGCAUGGUGUGGCUGGGAAAGAUUCACUUUUGUGGUGUUUUGGUGGGGGAUGGGCUCGCGGCCUAUCAGCUUGUUGGUGGGGUGAUGGCCUGCCAGGGCUUUGACGGGUAGCCGGCAUGGGGGGGUGGGCGGUCACACUGGGACUGAGGUACGGCCCAGACUCGUGCGGGAGGCAGCAGUGAGGGGUACUGCACGAUGGGCUGAAGCAUGAUGCAGCGACGUCGCGUGAGGGAUGGAGGCCUUCGGGUUGUGAGCCUCUUUCGCCGGUGAAGAAGGUCCUGCUCUUUGGGGUGGGGUUGACGGUAGCCGGGUUAUGAAGCGCCGGCUAACUACGUG
This 500-nucleotide ribosomal RNA is filed under the name uncultured bacterium. RNAcentral's name for it is "partial 16S ribosomal RNA". It matches the Rfam family "Bacterial small subunit ribosomal RNA", at positions 28 to 507 of the family's 1533-position model. The record is from RNAcentral.